This 544-nucleotide long non-coding RNA is filed under the name Marmota monax (woodchuck). The record is from RNAcentral. Lineage: Eukaryota; Metazoa; Chordata; Mammalia; Rodentia; Sciuridae.
GCCAGCUAGCAUCCAGACCCCAGAGCCAGUGGGGGCACAGCCCUGCCAGCCUCUGCCAGCCUCCCUCAAGGCUGCACGGGGUUUCCUUGCUCCCUGAUGCCCAUUUCUGUCCGGGUGCAGCACGGCGUGUAGUCACCCGGGUCAGGGUGAACCAGGGAGCAGGUGAGGGAGGCCUUGACUUGGCCAGGCCAGCAAGAGUGGGGUGAGGGUCUGGAACGUCUUCUUUGGACAGUGGGAAGGAGGCUGGUGUGUCCACUGUGAACAGGGUCGACCAACAGUUCAUCUGUGGAGAUGGUGCUGGCCAUGGCUGAGGGCCUGUGUCAAGCACUGGGUGAUGUGGAGGGGCAGUGGCCCUGGACUUCUCUGGUGUGGGGGUUGCUGUGGACAGGCCAGUGGACACAGUCACCCAGAGAUGAGUAUGCCGAGCAGACCCACCUGGUCCCUGCAGGCCAUCUGCCAGCAUAGCCACCCCCCAUGCUUGCCUUGGCCUAGAGUGGCAGCCAGUGAGGAAGGGCCCCUCUGCCCGCCAUGUGCAAGGCCUCGC